GACAGCGGACCCAAGAUGGCGACCGAGUUGGAGUACGAGUCCGUGCUGUGUGUGAAGCCAGACGUCAGCGUCUACCGGAUUCCGCCCCGGGCCUCCAACCGCGGUUACAGGGCCUCUGACUGGAAAUUAGACCAGCCUGAUUGGACUGGUCGCCUCCGAAUCACUUCAAAAGGGAAGACUGCCUAUAUCAAACUCGAGGAUAAAGUUUCAGGGGAGCUCUUUGCUCAGGCACCAGUAGAACAAUAUCCUGGUAUUGCUGUGGAGACAGUGACAGAUUCUAGCCGCUACUUUGUAAUCCGGAUCCAGGAUGGUACUGGGCGCAGUGCUUUCAUUGGCAUUGGCUUCACAGAUCGGGGAGAUGCCUUCGACUUUAAUGUCUCCUUGCAGGAUCACUUCAAGUGGGUAAAGCAGGAAUCUGAGAUUUCCAAGGAAUCUCAAGAAAUGGAUGCUCGUCCUAAGUUGGAUCUGGGCUUCAAGGAAGGACAAACCAUCAAGUUGAGUAUCGGGGUGAGUAUGGUUUUUAAAAAUUUUGUUUUCCUGUGCUUCCAUAAGCCGAUGACAUCUUUCUCUUGCUCUUCUUUUGUUCUUUUGUAGAACAUUACAAACAAGAAAGGAGGUGCUUCUAAGCCCAGGACUGCAAGGGGUGGGGGUCUGAGCCUACUCCCACCCCCGCCAGGAGGCAAAGUCACUAUUCCCCCACCAUCCUCCUCAGUUGCCAUCAGCAAUCAUGUCACCCCACCACCCAUUCCGAAAUCUAACCAUGGAGGCAGUGAUGCAGAUAUCCUUUUAGAUUUGGAUUCUCCUGCUCCUGUCACGACACCAGCACCAACUCCAGUUUCUGCAAGCAAUGACUUGUGGGGAGACUUCAGCACUGCAUCCAGCUCUGUUCCAAACCAGGCACCACAGCCAUCCAACUGGGUCCAGUUCUGAAUGGCAUUGGCAGGACAUUAAGGACAGACUUGAGGAAUAAAAAUGACCUUGAGGGCACCAAUCUGUGAGGGAAGUUAGGAACCCAUUUCCUCCCCAGAACCAGAAUGACUGGAAAAUCUUUUUCAUAGCUUCUCCAUCACAUUCAAGCUGGUUUAUGUCACUCCCCUGUGUUGUUACUUGUACAGCCAAGAAAGUAUCUGUUAUCUCCUGCUUAGUACCAAGGUAGGGGACUAGUGGAUCUUAUCAUAGUUUUGGCUGACUAUGCAGGGCUUAAAAGGCCAGCGUCUGUUUGAGGGGGAAUGACCUCUAACAUCUGUAAAAUUUGUCUCAUCUUUUAAAUUCUUUAACUUAUUUCAAAAUCAUCUCAUGACCCUUGUGUGCCUCUUUGUGAAGCCCUAUUUAGCAAUUUCAGGGGAGUCAAAAACCUUGCAACUUCCUUCUCCACUAACCCAGGACUAAAAAUGGACAGGCUCACCUCAGUGUUUACAAAUUCAGAAUUUUGAUAGGGGUAGAUAUGGAGAAAGACCUAUUUCCUGGGUCUCUGCUGUGUAGUCUCCUUCAGGCUUAUUGUACUCAGUGAACAUCCAGUGCUGGGUGCAGCUCCAUCACCCUCUUGUGUGUUUACAUGUCUCUUUCUAUGAUAAGAGGGUUGUGUUGGUGGCACCUCCACUACUCUUUUCUGUUUGUUGAGUGAAUUGUGUAACAUCUUUGAUCAGUGGGUGUCUCUGUAAUGAAGGAGGUUCAAGAGGCUGUGCUUUCCAAGUGAUAGUCUAUAGGAGUGUUUAAUUUCUUGCAGCUCCAUCUGGUUGCUGCAUUUGAAGCAUGGCAUUAAUUUGUAUUUGCCCUGUUCUUUGACCUAAAGUUGAAGGGUUUAGAGUUUUUAACCUGAUCUGUAGAGCAGAGAGGUUGAAAGCACUUAACUCUUGUUUAGUAUCCUCAUUGCCUUGCUGCCUGGGUAUCUGGCCCCUUUCCAUAAACAUUUCUUUUCAGUUCAUGUAGUUCUUUAAUAGAAAGCUGCUGUUAUGUAUAUUGUCAUUUGUGAAGGAAGUUGGAGAGUCACAGCUUUACUGUGACAGGUUUUGCCCAAGGCUUUGAUACCUGUCACCCAGGGUAUCUUAAAAGCAAGUUGUUCUCCCACUACUUUCCUUUCCCUCUGCCCUGCCAUUCCUUUUACAAUGCUGUGAAAAAAGUUCUGCUUCUUAGGUGAAUGGGGUACUUUCUAUUUUGUUUCUAAACGAGCAAUUUUGAGGAUGAAAUGGGAAGAUAUCAUUGCUUCCUUUUUGCACCUAUUGGGUAUGUACACUCUGGCCGAAGGGAGUCCUUAUGUUUAGUUUCAAAAUAUAUUACUUUCCUGGAUUCUCUUCUUCACUUUUUCUGACUUUGGGUCCAUUUUCUUUUCAUUGCCUCCUUUUCCAGGCAGCUCUAUUCUUGCAGAGCCAUAGCAGGACAUAUUAAAAUUCCAAUAGAAAACACUAAAAGGAAAGUCUGUGGAAUCACUAGUGACUAAAUACUGGGAACCUAUUUUCUCAAUCUUCCUCCAUGUUGUGUUCUUUGUAUUCUCGAGAUGAUAAUAUAUUAUGUAUUUGAAUUCCUGAAAAAUGGAAAAUGUUUAAGAUAUAUGUAUAUAAAGCAUAUGCUGUAUUGGU
RNAcentral lists this small RNA (2576 nucleotides) under Pan troglodytes (chimpanzee). RNAcentral describes it as "retained intron". Lineage: Eukaryota; Metazoa; Chordata; Mammalia; Primates; Hominidae. The record is from RNAcentral.